Molecule: ribosomal RNA, 352 nt
Filed under: Anatololacerta danfordi (Danford's lizard)
Lineage: Eukaryota; Metazoa; Chordata; Lepidosauria; Squamata; Lacertidae
Description: partial small subunit ribosomal RNA
Source: RNAcentral
GAACUACAAGUGAAAAACUUCAAACUUAAAGGACUUGACGGUAUCCCAAACCGACCUAGAGGAGCCUGUCCUAUAAUCGAUACUCCCCGCUCCACCCAACCUCAACUAGCACAAUAUCAGCCUAUAUACCGCCGUCGACAGCCUACCCUAUGAAGGUCCAACAGUAGACAUAAUAGCCCCCCACUAACACGUCAGGUCAAGGUGUAGCAAAUGUUGAGGAAGAGAUUGGCUACAUUUUUUAUGAUAAAAAAAACGAAAAGUAUUAUGAAAUAAUACAUGAAGGUGAAUUUAGUAGUAAAAUAAACAAGAGUGUUUAUUUUAACACCGCUCUGGGAUGCGUACACACCGCCCG